GACGAACGCUGGCGGCGUGCCUAAUACAUGCAAGUCGAACGCUUCUUUCCUCCCGAGUGCUUGCACUCAAUUGGAAAGAGGAGUGGCGGACGGGUGAGUAACACGUGGGUAACCUACCCAUCAGUGGGGGAUAACACUUGGAAACAGGUGCUAAUACCGCAUAACAGUUUAUGCCGCAUGGCAUAAGAGUGAAAGGCGCUUUCGGGUGUCGCUGAUGGAUGGACCCGCGGUGCAUUAGCUAGUUGGUGAGGUAACGGCUCACCAAGGCCACGAUGCAUAGCCGACCUGAGAGGGUGAUCGGCCACACUGGGACUGAGACACGGCCCAGACUCCUACGGGAGGCAGCAGUAGGGAAUCUUCGGCAAUGGACGAAAGUCUGACCGAGCAACGCCGCGUGAGUGAAGAAGGUUUUCGGAUCGUAAAACUCUGUUGUUAGAGAAGAACAAGGACGUUAGUAACUGAACGUCCCCUGACGGUAUCUAACCAGAAAGCCACGGCUAACUACGUG
RNAcentral lists this ribosomal RNA (508 nucleotides) under uncultured bacterium. RNAcentral's name for it is "partial 16S ribosomal RNA". It matches the Rfam family "Bacterial small subunit ribosomal RNA", at positions 28 to 507 of the family's 1533-position model. The record is from RNAcentral.